Oreochromis niloticus (Nile tilapia) is the source of this 4115-nucleotide long non-coding RNA. RefSeq lists it as uncharacterized. The record is from RefSeq and is a predicted model, not a curated record. The transcript has 2 exons. Lineage: Eukaryota; Metazoa; Chordata; Actinopteri; Cichliformes; Cichlidae.
CGCAGAGAAGGGGGAUUCAGGACUGGUGAGGAAGAGGUUGUAUUUAAAAAGUGAGUGAAGAAAACUCUAAAAUUAAUAAAUAAAUAAAUAAUAAAAGAUCCCAGCAAACUCAGUGGUUAAGAGCAUGUUUCUGUGGUACAGUGUGGGAAAUGUUAAUAAUGCUGAGAGCUGGGCUCACAUUUUUACAUAUGCUUUUUAUAUAACGUAUUUUACAUAACGUAUACUAUCAUGUGAGCGUGAAGUGUAUUUUAUUUGAUUAUAACUUUUCCAAUCCCCCCACUAAGUAGGCUAAAUAUAGUAAGUAAUACAGUUAAGCUAAAGUGUGUUAUUAUGCUCAUUUGUGUUAGUCUUCAUACUGUGUAAUCAUUUUUAACAGGUGGGGUUGCUGUGAUCAUAGACUGUGUGCCUGAGAUUAUUAAGCAUUUCAACUUAAAUUAAAGUAAUACUGAGCCAGGAGCAGGAGAAAACGAACAUCUUGGAACAAUCAAAAGCUUUUUGCUGGCAGGGCCGGUGCGAGCUGACGUCAGUCCCUGCGAGCUGACGUCAGUAUACACUGACGUCAUUCUGUGAAACGUUGUCCUUGUUUGAUGUGUAGUAUCAAUGCAGUAGUCAUUUGGACAUUUGGACUGUGGAGGUGGGUAAGUGUAAGACAUGCAAAUGAGAGCUUAGAAAUUAAUUCAGGAUCAGAUAUAUCGACUGCCAUACGAAUGGACCAUAGAAACAAGGGAUAUUUCUUGUUUAUUUAUACACCACUUCGAAUUUAAUAAUCACUUAAUUAUUAACUCUAUCUUUAUUUCACAGCUUGUCUUUUGUUCUUUCUACCUACCCUCACCUCAAAUGCCCCUGGCCUUGGUUCCCUUGCAACUGCCUGGAAAUCAGUGCUAUAUUAAAGGAGAACUGUUGUACUUUUCCUUGUUUUCUAUAACACAUAUAUUUUCAAAAUGCUGGUUCCCCCACCUGAACAUAGCCAAAGUCUAAAAUAAAUGUCAGUAUAAAUAGCCUUGGCUUGGUAUGAUGUCAGAUAGAGCAGAUAUGGUCAGAUAUAGAGGCUCCACCCACAUACUGCUGAAAUGUUUUGUUUGUGGAGGCAGCAAACCAAAAGAAAUGGUUUAAAACGAAAGGGUUGGAUUAUUUUGAACACUGAAUCAUGCAAAGCUACUUUAUCAGAGUCUAGGAAUAAUGCAGUUUAUGUUGAAAACAAUAUUUUGUUCUUAGAAUGUUGACAAUUUUUACUUAACAUCGCAAACAUUAACAAUGGCAGUGUUUUAUAACUGUUGAUGACUAUGAUUUACUAAAUGCAAUUAAUUUGUAUUUUUGCUGAGAUGUAAUACUUGGAUACCUUACUACUUACUACUAUUUAUUACUUACCUUCCACAUACAAUCUUGGUGACCUUUGCCCCUCCACCCCCAGAGCUCUGCAACAAGUUGAUGAUGCAGUUUGCUGCGUUGUGAGUAAUGGCCGAGGUGUCGGUGUUGACUGGAGGUAAAUGUAAACACUGCACCAUGCUGAGGAGCCGAACGCACAACUACAGUGUAAAGUCCCACUGCCAGUUUUUACUUUCCUAUGGCAACUGUUUGAAUUUAAUAUGUUUUCACAACACAACAUUUUUUUCAUUAUGUAAAAACGUGUCUAGCAUCUUUUUAUUAUUGUUGUCCACACUUGGCCCACACCGGUUCGCAUACAUACUGUAGCUAAUAGAUCAACUGAAGACACCAUUGUUACACCAUUGUUGCAAAGCUCCACAAAGCUGGUAGUCGACUUCAGAAGGAGGAAAUCUGUGCUGCAGCCCAUCAGCAUCAAUGGGGAGUGCACGGAUAGGCAGUCCAGCUUCUAGUUCCUGGGUGUGCACAUAGACACAGACGUCAAAUGAGCUCUAACACCUUGUAAAGAAGAAAAAUGGACCUGAAGAGGGAGCUGCUGAGCAUCCACUACUGUUGCUCCUUUGAAAGUGUGCUAACAUACUACAUCACUGUGUGGUUCUCCAGCUGCACCAUGGCACACUAAAAGGCACUUCAAAGGGUAAUUAAUAUGAUUUGGAUAUGAUAUGAAUAUGAUUUAAUAAAAAAUCAUUGGACAUCCUUUUUGCUCCCCGAAGGACCUGUACAGCCCUCGCUGUCUCAAGAGGGCACGCAGCAUCCUACAGGAUUGCACACACCCAGGACACUGUGCGUUUAAGCUGCUGCUGUCUGUCAGGAGAUUCAGGUUGCUGAGGUCACAGACAAACAGACUCAAGGACAGCUUUUACAAUGGGGCAAUAGCCCUAAUCAGUGCUAUCAGCUGACCUGAUUGGCUACCUCCCUCGAAUUAUUUGGGGGACAAUAAUGUGCAAUGAACAUUCAUUCUUUAAUUUAUUAAGUCGUCCUUUUUUUUGCACCUUUCAUCCACUUUAAAGUUUACUGUGUUGUGUUUUGUUGUGUUUAGUUGUGCUUAGUGCCAACGUUGGACAGUUUUCCAUUUUCGUUAUAUAUUGUACUAAAUAUGACUGUGCAAUGAUAAUAAACAGUUAUCUUAUCUUAUAUGUUUAUUAUAAACCAUUUUUAAAAAUAAUAGUUUUAUAUGUCAUAAAAAUAUGACUGACAUACAUGUUUAUUACUUCCUUUUUUACUUUCUCCUGUCAUAAAUCAGGGUCAUAAAUCACAUCUUUUGACACAAAGUAUAUGAUCAUCUGUAAUCGUACUUAUUAAGUAACACAAAAAGACCUCAGUAAGAAUAAAACUUUAAAAACAAAACAAAACAACAACAACACUAGCUGGAGAAAUUUUUCUCCAUGUCUUGGCGCUUGCGCUGUAUUUGUCAUGGUCCUGAGGCUGACGACUCAGUGUUUUGUGUUUCCUUAUAAUAUUCUAUGUUCUUGUUUAUUCUGGUUAUGUCUUUAGUUAAGAUUUGUCAUUUGUUAGGUUUCUAACAAAUGCCUGCCCUGGUCCCACUUCUCUGUGUUCCCUCUGUCUGUCCAUGAUGUCAUAGUGUCUGCUCGUGAAUCUGUCUGUUAAGUUCAGUGUCUAGUUUGGAUCUCUGUGUCCGUUGUGUAUUUCCUGUUUUACUUUGAAGGUCCAUGUCUUAUGUGAGUGUUUCUAGUUUUGCUUCCCUUUGGUCUCGUCAUGUCUGAUUACUCCCAGCUGUGCUCUCCUUCUGUGUCUCAUUCCCUCGUUAUCCCUCUGUGUAUUUAAGCCUUGUGUUUGCCUCUGUUAGUUGCUGGUCUGUCUAUGUUGUUUCCCUGAGUCUCCCUGUUGUUCCUCUGUGUAUCACCCUGAGAGUUUUGACCUAAUUACCAUAUGUUUAGGUUUUCCCAGUUUUAGUUUAUUUCUUAGUUCCUGUCCUCGCCAUCUCCACUAAAAUAAACUUACUUCUCAUAUCAACCUCUGCCUGCACUUGGGUCCUUACUUCACCUCCACACGUCUGUUAUCGCAGCCGUGACAGUAUUUCUCUGUUUUUCUUAUUCUGCUCUUCUUUUUCUUUCAAUAUUUCUGUCAUUUGCUGCAUUUUUGUCAUUUCUGGUGCUGUCUCUGAGAUACCUUGAUACAAAUACUCUGUACAGGAUCCAGAUCUUUCCAAAUUCUUUUCACUUGAACCCAAGUCGCUGCUUCUGACCACGUGGCAUAGUUUGUGUCAUGAUCUGGAAAUGUGCCUGGAAAAUUCCAUCAGGUACCUGAGUUCUUUGGUCUCCACCCCUGGGCGGAGCCAUCUUUCCUGCAGUCCUGCACACCUGAAGCUGAUUCUGGGUAAUCAGGUUGAGGAUUUAUGACCUGACGUUGGUAUCGGUUUUCAUGCUCUUGCUACUUUUUUUGUCGCUUACCUUAUUUUCCUGUGCCACAGUUUCCCUUGACCUUCUUCACCACUGCCUUCAACCUCAGCGCUUCUCGGGUUACCUCUGCAAUGCGGAGAACCUUCCCUGUCUGCCCCCCAGCUAUCACUCACCACCUCGGACGCAGUGGAACUCAGGUCAGCCAGCCUUUGCCAAUACUCACCCAGAUUCUCGCCGCCUCUUCCUCAAAGCCAAGUUCACCCCAGCUAUCAACUCACCCGCUCCAUUCCCAUCGCACCUGUCAAGGCCGCCUCACUAGUAAGACUUUGCUACGAAUUAAUCUGUUUUCUCAAUAAAACACUGUAAAAUGUA